This is a non-coding RNA of Vicia faba (fava bean), 237 nucleotides long. Lineage: Eukaryota; Viridiplantae; Streptophyta; Magnoliopsida; Fabales; Fabaceae. The record is from the annotation of a GenBank genome assembly.
AUGUGGCGCAAACCAAACCAAUCUUCACGAUAUGAAGUGGCUAUUUCCUCCAUAACCAAUAGAGGUGCUAACCGCAUCCGUUCGUCACCGUUCACUCCCACAAAUCCAAUCAACCUCGCUUUGCCGGCGACGGAAUUCUCAAUUCUCAAACUUCCCCUCGAAUCUCCACCCUUCAGUGUGCAGAUUGAUGACAACUUGUCUGAUUUGGGCAUCAAGAACAAAAAGAGACCUCUGUAG